RNAcentral lists this ribosomal RNA (383 nucleotides) under Megasphaera elsdenii. RNAcentral describes it as "bacterial SSU rRNA". It matches the Rfam family "Bacterial small subunit ribosomal RNA", at positions 1159 to 1533 of the family's 1533-position model. The record is from RNAcentral. Lineage: Bacteria; Bacillati; Bacillota; Negativicutes; Veillonellales; Veillonellaceae.
CAAUGCGGAGGAAGGCGGGGAUGACGUCAAGUCAUCAUGCCCCUUAUGGCUUGGGCUACACACGUACUACAAUGGCUCUUAAUAGAGGGAAGCGAAGGAGCGAUCCGGAGCAAACCCCAAAAACAGAGUCCCAGUUCGGAUUGCAGGCUGCAACUCGCCUGCAUGAAGCAGGAAUCGCUAGUAAUCGCAGGUCAGCAUACUGCGGUGAAUACGUUCCCGGGCCUUGUACACACCGCCCGUCACACCACGAAAGUCAUUCACACCCGAAGCCGGUGAGGUAACCUUUUGGAGCCAGCCGUCGAAGGUGGGGGCGAUGAUUGGGGUGAAGUCGUAACAAGGUAGCCGUAUCGGAAGGUGCGGCUGGAUCACCUCCUUUCUAGGGA